Populus euphratica (Euphrates poplar) is the source of this 199-nucleotide long non-coding RNA. RefSeq lists it as uncharacterized. The transcript is spliced from 3 exons. The record is from RefSeq and is a predicted model, not a curated record. NCBI's taxonomy places the organism in Eukaryota, Viridiplantae, Streptophyta, Magnoliopsida, Malpighiales, Salicaceae.
AGAUUUAUAUGAGGAAUUGCUUAACAAGUCGGUGGCAGGAAUGGUUUCCAACAAUAAUAAGUGGAGAUGGGAUGUUUUUGCACACCUUUUACCAAUGAAUAUUGUGAUGACUCUAGCUAGCUAUCCCCCUCCAAAUAGGGAGCCGAAUGAGGACCAGCUCUCUUGGAGCCUUUCCAUGAAUGCUUGGAGGAGCCAACCA